RNAcentral lists this ribosomal RNA (274 nucleotides) under uncultured bacterium. RNAcentral describes it as "partial 16S ribosomal RNA". It matches the Rfam family "Bacterial small subunit ribosomal RNA", at positions 523 to 796 of the family's 1533-position model. The record is from RNAcentral.
AUACGAAAGGUGCAAGCGUUGUUCGGAUUUACUGGGCGUAAAGAGAGUGUAGGUCGUUUAUUAAGUCGGAUGUGAAAUCCCGGGGCUCAACCUCGGAACUGCAUUCGAUACUGGUAGACUAGAGUUCGGGAGGGGUAAGCGGAAUUCCGUGUGUAGCAGUGAAAUGCGUAGAUAUACGGAGGAACACCUGAGGCGAAGGCGGCUUACUGGACCGAUACUGACACUGAGACUCGAAAGCGUGGGUAGCAAACAGGAUUAGAAACCCUAGUAGUCC